UACGUAUGGUGCAAGCGUUAUCCGGAUUUACUGGGCGUAAAGGGAGCGCAGGCGGCGCGCCAAGUCUGAUGUGAAACCCCGGGGCUCAACCCAGGGCAUGCAUUGGAAACUGGCGGGCUGGAGUGCCGGAGAGGUAAGCGGAAUUCCUAGUGUAGCGGUGAAAUGCGUAGAUAUUAGGAGGAACACCAGUGGCGAAGGCGGCUUACUGGACGGCAACUGACGCUGAGGCUCGAAAGCGUGGGGAGCAAACAGG
RNAcentral lists this ribosomal RNA (253 nucleotides) under uncultured bacterium. RNAcentral describes it as "partial 16S ribosomal RNA". It matches the Rfam family "Bacterial small subunit ribosomal RNA", at positions 524 to 776 of the family's 1533-position model. The record is from RNAcentral.